GGUUCUGAACUUAUCUUGGCAACAAAGUAGAAGGUUUUAGAUUGGAGCAGUAUCCAACCAAAACUAUAGUUAAUAGGAAUGACCAUUGUGAGUUUGUUCUAACGGACACCGCAACUCUUUUUUAAGCACUUGUUCUUUGUUUCACGCAAAAUCUGAUUGAAUUCUAAUGCAUGUUUUUAUAGAUCAUCGAGCCGCACGUUUUCGUUUUGAAAUUGGUGGCAGCAACCUCCUUCAAGGUGAAUAAUCGUACGUGGCAAACAGCAGGUCUACCCUCUACAGUUUUUACGCAGUUGGACUUGAUAAAGAAAACCAAGGUAAGAACACACCCUUCAUCCUUGUGAUGUAUUCAUAAUUGUCAACGGCCACUAACGUCCUUUUCUCCUACACACAAUCCAGAUGCUUUUUUUUAAACAAAUGGAGCCAAGUUGCAUACCAUUAAGUUGAAUGGGUCUUCUUUAUUUCAUACUAAAAUAUGUCGUUCUUCGGAGGAUGUUCCCAUAGAACAGGUGUGACGUAGCAACUGCUCAAGUUAAAUAAUUUACAUGCAUUACCUUGUGGUUAAGGGACGAGACUAAUAUCAGUUGAGAGGAAGUCUUUGCUCGGACGGUUUAAUCUCGCAAAGUAUGAAAAAGUAAGUCAGAGCCACUCCAACUACUUGCCCAUAGCCAGUAGUAAAUGAACUUUAAAACAAAUAGAGGGAUGGUCAUUCACGCGCUUACCUGCGGUAAAAGUUUCUUGCCGACAUUGAAAUAAUUGCCAUUGGCACUAAUUUGCGGAAUGGUCUGCGCCAUUUGUGUUACGAGAAACUCCGUCUGCGUAAAAAGAAUAGUACUUGUCUCAAUUCCGCAUCAAAUAUUCUUUUUGUUGUUACCUCCAUUUGAUGGCCAGCUAACGGCGUGUCAGUCCAUUUAAAUUUUAAUAAUUGUCUUAUAACAUCUCCAGCCUAAGAGUUUAAAAGAAUAAUUUUUUUUUAUUUUUUAGAAUUGCUGCAGAUCGACGAAGAAAUUGUACCUUGUUGGAAACACGAUCUGCAAAGGAACACAUUAAGAUCAGGUGGACCAAAGCAAACAACAAAAAGGAGAGAUCCGUUACCGUUUUGAGUUCCAUGCCAAACAGGUAAAAGCUCGAAUUGAUGAUGGCAACUAAAUAAAAGGUUGUAGAUAGGAGCAGUAUCCAACCAAAACUAUAGUUAAUGUUAUCGACUGUAUCACAGGCCAGGAAAUAUAUUUGCUUUACUGCAAAAACGAAAUAUCUGACGUCUUUGUGCUGGCUGUUUAAUAACUGAACUUCACGUCGCUCGAUUUCCAUCUGAAUCAGCUCGAAUGCAAGAAACGAAGCAUAGCAGUGAACGACAAACAGUAGCAAGGCAGUCAUUGGAUAGAUGGCUGACAAUGUCGAAAUGGAAGUGAUGAAGAGAUGAUGGUUAAAAGAAGUUCUCCUGCGCAGAUGAUAAUCCGUGACCAACAAAAGAAUCCCAGACACCUUUAAUCAUUCAGGUAAUCGUAU
Daphnia magna is the source of this 1506-nucleotide long non-coding RNA. RefSeq lists it as uncharacterized. The transcript has 2 exons. The record is from RefSeq and is a predicted model, not a curated record. Lineage: Eukaryota; Metazoa; Arthropoda; Branchiopoda; Diplostraca; Daphniidae.